This 195-nucleotide unclassified non-coding RNA is filed under the name uncultured Eurotiales. RNAcentral's name for it is "sequence contains ITS1". The record is from RNAcentral. Lineage: Eukaryota; Fungi; Ascomycota; Eurotiomycetes; Eurotiales.
CCGAGUGAGGGUCUCCCGGUGAGCCCGAUCUCUCCACCCGUGUUUACCGUACUGUGUUGCUUUGGCGGGCCCGCCGUUCAGGCCGCCGGGGGGCAGGAUCGAUGCCCCGCCCCCGGGCCCGUGUCCGCCGGAGAUGAGGGAAAAACUCUUGCUGUCGGAUAUGCUGUCUGAGUGGAUAACAGAAGAAAUCAUUCA